RNAcentral lists this ribosomal RNA (786 nucleotides) under uncultured Pseudomonadota bacterium. RNAcentral describes it as "bacterial SSU rRNA". It matches the Rfam family "Bacterial small subunit ribosomal RNA", at positions 71 to 836 of the family's 1533-position model. The record is from RNAcentral. Lineage: Bacteria; Pseudomonadati; Pseudomonadota.
AAAGUCCCGCAAGGGGCGAGUAGAGUGGCAAACGGGUGAGUAACGCGUGGGCGACCUACCUUCGAGUGGGGGAUAACAUUCCGAAAGGAGUGCUAAUACCGCAUGACAUCCCGUGUUUGGAUACACGGACAUCAAAGCUGGGGAUCGCAAGACCUGGCGCUUGGAGAGGGGCCCGCGUCCGAUUAGCUAGUUGGUGGGGUAACGGCCCACCAAGGCUUCGAUCGGUAUCCGGCCUGAGAGGGCGGACGGACACACUGGAACUGAGACACGGUCCAGACUCCUACGGGAGGCAGCAGUAGGGAAUUGUUCGCAAUGGGCGCAAGCCUGACGACGCAACGCCGCGUGGAGGAUGAAGACCUUCGGGUCGUAAACUCCUUUCGACCGAGAUGAAUGCUCGCCGGCCUAAUAUGCCGGCGAAUUGACAGUAUCGAGGGAAGAAGCCCCGGCUAACUCCGUGCCAGCAGCCGCGGUAAUACGGGGGGGGCAAGCGUUGUUCGGAAUUAUUGGGCGUAAAGGGUUCGUAGGUGGCUUGCUAAGUCAGACGUGAAAUCCCUCGGCUCAACCGGGGAACUGCGUCUGAGACUGGUAAGCUUGAGUGCAGGAGAGGAACGCGGAAUUCCAGGUGUAGCGGUGAAAUGCGUAGAUAUCUGGAGGAACACCGGUGGCGAAGGCGGCGUUCUGGACUGUUACUGACACUGAUGAACGAAAGCCAGGGGAGCAAACGGGAUUAGAUACCCCGGUAGUCCUGGCCCUAAACGAUGAAUGCUUGGUGUGGCGGGUAUCGAU